GUUGGGACACUAAAAACAGACUUAUCUCUAGGGUGAAAUUACAUUAGCCACAGACACUGAAACUGAUGGCUAAAUGAAAUGAUUAAUUAAUAAUUUAAAAAAAAACCCAGAGGAGUCAGAAAAGGCACAAUUAUAGACUAAAAGUAGAUUAGUGGUCCCUGAAGCUGUAUGUGGAAAGAGGGAUUAAAUGUUAAAGGUCUUCUUGUUUGGGAUGAUGUUCUAAACCUAUAUUAUGGUGAUGAUGGCCGAUAAAUUUGCUAAAACUCAUUAAUUUGUAUACUUAAAGUGAGUGAAUUGCAUGUAAAAAAUUAUGCCUCAGUAAAGUUAACAAGAGUAAUUCCAGAGAAGACCAGCUACCUGAAUGCAGCAAACAUUCUCUCUCUGUAAGCAAACUACACGACAAGCUACGUUGUAAGCAGAAAUUUGGUUGGGACGUAAAUUCAGAGCAAGUCAAACUGGCUAUAUGUGAUUAGAAUACCUCCAUUUACAUCACAGACAUACAACCACUUCAGAUGUGGAGUCUUUAUACUUUAGUGUUUGUCUCUGUGGCUUUCAUUCUUCCCGGUUCUGCUGGCUAAAUAAUCCUUCUUCUGGUACAAUGCCUACUUUUAGCCUACAGAUCAAGUUAUGUUGUCCUGGGAACCACUUUUCAUCUUAAAACUUCAGAUAUCUUGGCUCUGAACUACCAUGAGUUGUGUUUACAGCCUCCAAGUCAAUUUUAUUUCCAAGUUGCAGUAUUCAGACUGGGAGGGAAGAGGACAAUGGGUGACUUUUUGUCCCUAUCACAAUUUUAUAUCAGAAACGGAAUGGCAAUGAGGUGAUUUUUAUCUUAUGAAAAAUUUCUACAGGCACACAACGAGCAGGGCACAACUGCCUCUCCUGCAACGUGACACGUAAGUAAGGCUGCCAGGUAAAACAUACACAAGUCCCAUAGAGUAUUUGGGAUGUACACAGACUUAAAAAUUACUCAUGGUUCAUCUGAAACUAAAAUUUAACUAGGAUCCUGUAUUUCAUUUGCGGGUAGACAUAGAAGCCCUGGGAAUUGCCGAAAAACAUACUGUCCAAAUAACUUUGGCAAAAAAAGAGUCAAAGAACCAAACUCCAGGCUGUCAAACAGCCUUGCAUCGGAGUUGGCAAAAGCUACCUGUAGCAGAGUAAAGGAGAAAAAUCCUAAGUGUUAGAGCUGAAUCAGAAAUAUUAGUUGUCUUGGGAGGAAGGGGAGGGUCACAGUCCAGGGAAGGAUGGAAAGAAAACUUCAUUUCUUAUCAAGAAUUUCUGAUCAAGAAUUCUCCACUCAGCCCUUCUGCGUGGCAGCGGCCAGAGAGCAAGCGCCUACAAGGAAGGGACUCCACUUUGCGGCCUGGAUGACGAACGGGGCGAUUUCCCCACUCCAGUCCCAAGGCACCUGGCAGGCGCACCUGCGCUAGGUAAACGAGAGAAGCCCGCCCAGACCGGAUGCGGAAGUGAGGAGUUAGCUAAGCCCCGCCCCGCGGCUGAGCAACGCUCCGGCCGCGCCCACCAGGCCAGGCCUCGCGGGGUGACGUGUCUGAACUGUGAAGGCGGAGCGGGAACGAGGUCGCCGGAGUAGGAGUUGGCGAGAUUUGAUUGAAAGUUAAACAUCAGAGGAAUGGACUUCGUGAACAAAAACUGUGGCCCAUACUUCCAGUUCUGCAAGGAUCAAGCCAUUUGCUACCGCAGUCACCCAACAACAGUGCACCCUGAGGGGAACUCAGGAUGGAGAAAAAUCAAUAUUCUGUGCUUUGGAGCCUGGCUCUGGAUAGUUAAGAUGCAUAUCUAAGGAAUAAUUUCACUGAACUCAGAUGCUUGCAUCCGCUCAUACAUACAAAAGCACUAAAAUCUUUAACUUGAGAUGUCUAUUCUUUGUGAUUAGCAGUAACCUUUUGAUAUUGGCCUAGCUAUUUUGUUCCAGCCAAAAAACUCAUAUACAUCCUGUCUCCUCCCUUACCUCUUGAGACGGGUUCUUCAGAGAUAUCUGAGAGGGGGUUUUCUAUGCUAUGUUCCUCAGUAAGUUCCCUGAAUAAAACUUAAAACUUC
This is a long non-coding RNA of Bubalus bubalis (water buffalo), 2055 nucleotides long. RefSeq lists it as uncharacterized. NCBI's taxonomy places the organism in Eukaryota, Metazoa, Chordata, Mammalia, Artiodactyla, Bovidae. The transcript has 2 exons. The record is from RefSeq and is a predicted model, not a curated record.